GACGAACGCUGGCGGCGUGCUUAACACAUGCAAGUCGAACGGUGAAGCGCCUUCCUUUUUGGUGGGUGUGGAUGAGUGGCGAACGGGUGAGUAACACGUGAGUAACCUGUCCCCUUCUUCUGGAUAACCGCAUGAAAGUGUGGCUACUACUGGUUAUUUUGACUCUGUGGCAUGAUGGGUCUGGGAAAGAUUUUGUUUCGGUGGGGGUUGGUCUCGCGGCCUAUCAGGUUGUUGUUGGGGAGGUGGUCUACCAAGGCGGUGACCGGUAGCCGGCCGAGGAGGGUGGGCGGUCACAGAGGGGCGGAGACACCGCCCAGACUACGGCAGGAAGCAGCAGGGGAGAUUACUGAACAAUGGGAGGAAUCCUGAUGCAGCGACGCCGCGGGAGGGAUGGAGGCCUGCGGGUUGAGAACCUCUUUCGGCAGUGAAGCAGGCCUGCCUCGUCUGUGGGUGGGUUGACGGUAGCUGGAUAAGAAGCGCCGGCUAACUACGUG
Molecule: ribosomal RNA, 494 nt
Filed under: uncultured bacterium
Lineage: Bacteria
Description: partial 16S ribosomal RNA
Rfam family: Bacterial small subunit ribosomal RNA
Source: RNAcentral